This 205-nucleotide unclassified non-coding RNA is filed under the name Hevea brasiliensis (rubber tree). The record is from RNAcentral. Lineage: Eukaryota; Viridiplantae; Streptophyta; Magnoliopsida; Malpighiales; Euphorbiaceae.
ACUACACUAUCAGAGUUUUAUUAGCAACAGAAUCCACUAUGCAUUUGACCAAAACAAACUCACAAUUCUCAGAAACUACUAACAACCCAUGACCCCAAAACUUGGUCAACCUUUGAAUCACAUCUCAACAUGGAAUCCCAGAAGCAGCAUUUGCCCGGAACUCGUCGUGAAAUGGGGAAUAUAUUCUUUUGCAUAUGUAACAGCU